GGCUGGUUAGUGUAGCGGUUAUCACUCUCGGUUCUGAUAAUAUCGGACUUUCCGAGCAACUCCGGUUCGAAUCCGGAAUCGGCCU
Molecule: non-coding RNA, 85 nt
Organism: Cantharellus anzutake
Lineage: Eukaryota; Fungi; Basidiomycota; Agaricomycetes; Cantharellales; Hydnaceae
Source: the annotation of a RefSeq genome assembly